UGCGAUUUAAUGUAAUUGGUUAACAUCUCUGACUCAUGAUCAGUGUAUUAAGGUUCAAGUCCUUAGGUCGCAC
This 73-nucleotide transfer RNA is filed under the name Schizosaccharomyces pombe (fission yeast). Its description in RNAcentral is "tRNA Methionine (cau), mitochondrial". It matches the Rfam family "tRNA". Rfam says of the family: Transfer RNA (tRNA) molecules are approximately 80 nucleotides in length. Their secondary structure includes four short double-helical elements and three loops (D, anti-codon, and T loops). The record is from RNAcentral. Lineage: Eukaryota; Fungi; Ascomycota; Schizosaccharomycetes; Schizosaccharomycetales; Schizosaccharomycetaceae.